ACACAUUUAGGUAUCGUACCCACCCUAGCAGCCGUCAUGUAGCUGUAGACACCAGCAUCUUACAUUCGAUUGUUUUUUUUCCUUCUCUCUCACAUUUUUUUUUAACUUUUGAUUCUUAUUCUUCAAAUUAUUUUGUUCGAUCGUAGUUUGAUUUUGGGUUUGGAUUCGGAAUGGAUCUGGUGGAGGGGACGUUGGAGAUGAUUUUGAUUGUUUUCGAUCGUGAUUUCUCUUGUGAAACGAAGGUAAAGUAGAAGAAGCACUGUCGUUGUGAAAAUCAAGUUUGAAUGAUUUAGAAGUUCGUUUGCAAGGAAGGUAAGGUGGAUUGCAAGGAAGGUAGGGUGGAUAAACAUCCAUUGAGCCUAAGAUGUAUAAUUGAUAUUAACCUUGCAUGUAGGAUCAUUAUCCGUCACUCCUUGCCUCCUAGAUAUUAUACAUAAUUAUGUGUUUAGCGGACAAUUUUGAGACAUCUGUGAUAAGAUUGCUAUUGUGUGACAUCACGUUUUAUUUGCUUUAUUUUCUGUAUUGUGAAUCUGUAUAUCCAUUUUAUAUUCGGUGUUAAUAAAAUCAUAUUUCAUAUUUGUAUUUUGCUUUAUUAUUGUCAAAAUUAUCUUUGAUAUUUGUUUGGUGUUUUGUGUUUUGUAUUUUGUAUUUAUAUUUCUGUUAUUGAUUGUAAUGAUUUUUUUUUAUCUUAAUGCAUUGUUUGCUGUCU
This 709-nucleotide long non-coding RNA is filed under the name Helianthus annuus (common sunflower). RNAcentral's name for it is "hypothetical non coding rna". Lineage: Eukaryota; Viridiplantae; Streptophyta; Magnoliopsida; Asterales; Asteraceae. The record is from RNAcentral.